Molecule: long non-coding RNA, 6984 nt
Organism: Leopardus geoffroyi (Geoffroy's cat)
Lineage: Eukaryota; Metazoa; Chordata; Mammalia; Carnivora; Felidae
Exons: 2
Source: RefSeq, a predicted model, not a curated record
CUUGGGAUUCUCUGUCUCCAUCUCUUUCUGCCCCUCCCUUCCUUGCUAUCUCUUGCUCAAAAUAAAUAAAAACAAACUUAAAGAAAAUCGAUUCUAGAAAUAACAGGAAGUUCGUUGUGGCUGGAAAACGGGAUGGGUAGAGAGGAAAUUCAAAGUAUAGUUUAGUGCUGAACCAAACAGAUUAUAUGCUCUUCUGGGAGUUGAACUCAUGUGUGUAGUCGAUGGGAUACCUUGGAAGGGUUAAAUGCAGGGAAAUGAUUGAAGACUGAAGUUUUGGAUGGUCAUCAAAACGUGAGGAGAGGAGUACCAGAGGCCAGAAGAUCAGUUGAUUCUCUAGGUAAGGAAUAGGGCCUGCCCUGGGUAACCCCCAGGAUGGGAAGGGUGGGCCAGGGUGUGUACGAAGAUCUGAGAGAAACCUGAAGUCUAUGGUGAGAAGAUUUAGAGAGGAAGAAGGCAUAUGUGUCUCCCCUUCCCUACCAUUUUUUUGUGUUUUUUUUUUUUUGUUGUUGUUUGUUUUUUGCUCUGAAUAUCUGUUGGUGCCAUUAACUGAGAAAGUGAGGACAGGCGGAGGAAUUGGGGGGGGGGGAUGGGUAGGGGAGAAAGAGGACUCAGUUUUGAAUACAUUGAACCUGGUUGGAACUUAACCUAGCACUAGAACUCAGGAGAAAGGUCUGGAAUGGAAACGAAAUACACUGAGACACACACAUAUGUGUGUUAUGUACUUACCACUUGCAGAUUUGACCAUGAGGAAAGGAGAAAGCAGUGAAGUCCAACAUUUGAAGAUUGAGCAGAAGAGAAGCUCAAAAAGUGUUCCAAAAGUGAGUCUGCUGCACAGCCAAGGGGUGUCCAUCACUGACCCACAAGUAUGUGGCAGUGGUGCCCGCAGUUACAAUGCAGCCAGGUAUGUGCUGGGCUCCAGACCCUUCUGUCUGACUUACCCGUUCCACACGGCCAUUUCGAGUUUCCCGUGUCCCGAACUGGUCUUCCCCUCCUUCCUUCCAUGCACCCCUCUUCUCGUGUCGUCUGUCUGUGAAUAGCACAAGUAUCCCUUCAGGUGCCCAAAGCAGACACUUGCCAGCCGCCCACCCUCAACUCGUGCAUCCCGUCAGCAGGCCUGUUCAUUCCACCUUUGAAACAUCUCCCCUCCACCUGCUUCCUCCCACCUUCCGCUGCCUUGAUCCCAGCCACCGCCUACCUUUGUUGGGUCACUACGGGAGCUUCCCAGCUGGUCUCUAGGUCUGUACCGCUCUGUACUUUCAGCAGCCACAGUAACUGUUCUAAACUUCGAAUCUGAUCGUAUCACUGUCACUUGAAACCAUUAAAUGCUUCCCCGUCGUCCUGAGGACAAAGUUCCUAAAGCUGCUGUCAGGCCCUCCCUCAUCGGGCCCUGCUCUUCUCCGCCCCCCGCCCCCCUCCCCACGGUUGUCCUCCUCACGGCCUCCCCCACUCAUGAACCUGUCUUCACCCUCAUCUAGCACACGGCCUCUGUAAGUGCUGUUCGGGCUCUGCCAAGGCUGUCCCUUCCCCCACCCCUCAUCGUCCACUUCUCAGGGCUUGGCUCCUGGUUCACUUCCUCUGGGAAACCUUCUUGACAACCAUCGCACACACCCCCACACCCAGCUGGCUUAGGUGCCUCUCCUGUAAUCGCCCAGAGCAUCUGGCAUUUGCCCUGAAUCCUGAGUCGUUUCCACUUGCCUGUCUUCCACAUAGACUGUGAGGUCCCUCUCCCACCCGUCCCAGAACUGACCCACUGCCUGUCAUAUGAUGCCUGCUCACGAUAUUGAAAAUUACGGAAUUUUAUUUGCAACACACACACACACACACACACACACACACACACACAACCAAACAAACUCGUUUGGGGCUAGUUUUUUUUUUCUUUUUUUUUUUCUUUUAAUUUACCUGAAGUGGAAUAGCAAGAUAGAGCAUUUUGAAAUAACCCAGGAUGUCAGGAAGGAUUGCACUCUUAGGUUGUGUAGAAUGGCACCAGACUUUUGAAGGUUCAUUUUUGAGACAGAAGAGGAAAAUGUUUAAGAAGCGCUGAAGGAAAGGGGGCCCCCUGGGUGGCUCAGCUGGUUAAGCGUCUGACUCCGCAUUUUGGCUCCCGUCAUGAUCUCACGGUUGUUGGUUGUGGGAUCGAGCCCUGCUUGGGAUUCUUUCUCUCUCUCCCUCUGCCCCUCUCUACCCCACCCCCUCAAAAACAAAUAGACAUUAAAAAAAAGAAACAAAGAAAGAAACACUUAAGGAAAAGAAUGGAGUGCUUGGAAACCUGACAUCUCUUCAAGUGACACAGAUCAUACUGAUUGGCUCCUUAAGAUUCUGGUUAAACCGAGAAUCUUCCUUCACCCUAGCUCGGUGUCCCGUGUGUUUUGUACUAGAAUUGUCACAUACGAAAGCAGCUCUGGGUGGCCAUGUGUUUUAAUAAUGGGAUUAGGUGCACUGCAGGUUUUGCAUGACAUUAAACAUGGAACUGACUGAUUCAUUCUUGCCAUGUAACCUUGUUAAUGGGGUGGGAUUGGAUUAAAUGGCUUGAAAUGAGAUGGCUGGACAUUAGAGGUGUUUGGACUAAAAUUCAGCCUACAGAGAAAGGUGGGGCGAGUUUCCUGCAAGUUAUCUCCGCUGCCUGUGAGAAAAACUCCCAUCUGUUAAGGAUUUUUUGUUUGUUUGUUUCUGCUGAGCAUCGGGGUGGCUGUUGGUUAAUAGAGUCCCGUAGGUAAUUUUAUUGCGGAAGGAACCAGGGUUCAGAGGUGUUAAAUAAUUAGCCCGUAUCCCACCAUUAAUGAAUGACCGAGCCAGGAUGCCAUUUCAAAGAAAAAUCACUUUCCAGGGCCCCAGGCUCUCUUUAGAUCAAGCAUCUGGGAUGACUUAGUUUUCUCAAAAUAAUUCUGAAAUCCCAAUUUAUAUCCUGAAAAAUCACAGCUUCUAACCAAAACAUUAGACUUCUACAAAAAUUAAUACACUUGAAAGAAACUUGUCAACGGUCGUACCAGCAGAUGUGGGAACAGGAUGGGAUCAGGCACCGGGCAGUGCUGUCCCCACGACACAUUUUGUUGACGUUUGGUAGCACCAGCGGCCCUUGUGCAGAGGAGGAUUCUGAGCUUCAGGCUCCCCAUCUGGGCAUCACUAGGUUCAGCAUCAGGAGUAAACCCGAAAAAGGAAAUUCCUACACAAUUUAACCGUUUCUGAAAGCUCAUCUCCGUAUCACCUGCGCUCUUAUAAAUGCUAUCAUGUUCCUGCCAAAGAAUCCAUGUUUGGGGGGAUGUAACUCAGGGUGAGAAUAGCACGACAGACCGUCGGUAUCACUGGUCUCUCAAACGGUGCUGUGCUUGCUGUAUGAUUGAAUAAACCAGAUCGAUGUUUGGGGGGAAGGGAGGGGAGGGAGGAGGAGAAGAAGAGGAAGGAAAUACGGAAACGCCAAGGGAGUGCUAAGCGCCAGACGGGGGCUUCAGAGCCCUUAACAUUCUCUCAUUUGAACCUCACAACAAUCCAUUCGUGGUAGUUGCUCUUUCGGUUUCACAGAAGAGAAAACCUAGGUUCAGUGAAUGAACCAGGUCUCUGCCCUGCAUUCUUUGUCAAAGAACGGCUCCUGAAUCCCUUUGGGUUUUGGUCUAUAGCUAGGUGACUUGCCUCCGAGUGAACUGUCCCUCACAUAAUGCACACUCCCUGGUUACUGGGCCAAGUCUGUUCUUUGGUGGAUGUGACCUUUUCCCCCGGGAAAAGAAAUCAUACGGUAUGCCGUGGGUGCCGUCUUUAAGGAACUUUCAAUAUCAACCGAUGCAGUGUUUUCCAAACUGGUUUAAUAUUUGUUAUCUUUGCCAUUUAAAUGUAAGGAGGAUGGGAGUUUUAAAAAUUAAUCUGUUUCGGGGUCCCUCCGUGGCUCAGUCGGUUAAGCGUCCAACUCUUGGUUUCAGCUCAGGUCAUGAUCUCAUGGUUCGUGAGGUAGAGCCCUGUGUCGUACUCUGUGCCUGUUUGGGAGUAUCUCUGUCCCUCUCUCUCUGCUUCUCCUCUCUCUCCCUCUCUCUGUCUUUCUCAAAAUAAAUUAAUUUUGAAAAAUAUAAAAGCCUCUGAGGACAGGACUUAAAAAAAAUUAUUCUGUGUAAGAAUAAGGGAUCCUUAGUCCACAGAGGCACAUAUGACCCUUCUGUUUCAGGCAUUCUUUAAAACCAGUAAACAUUCAUUGUCUACAUGCGACAUGCCAGAGACUCUUCUGGAACACCAGAUUUAUAGCUGUUGUAUUAGCUCCGACUGGUAGAUUCUGGUAUAGUCUCAGUCUGGUGCACAUGAUGUUGAUUACAAGUGACAGAAGCGUUGAGAAGACUGGAGAGCCACCCCCACAGAACUGGUGGUAACCGCUGAGCACAAGGGGCAGUGUUUUUAAGUUCUAGUCCCAUGAUCUCGUUCGGUAGCCACUGCUGCUGCCAUCACAAAAGCCGCUUCUGCCCCAUAAGCCACCACACCACUGCUUCCGUCUGAAGGAGAGAAGUGAGUUCCCCUUUCGGUCUACAUUAUCAGCUCCUGGGCCAAAAUCCUCUAAGGAUGUGCCCACUGGGGGAGUGUUUGUGUCCAACCCCCAGGAGGGGCUGGGAAACUGAGCGAGUGGUGCGGUGGAUGGUCUUUUGCGCGCCUGUCCCCUUCCACCGAGAUUCAUAAAGCGGUUGAUUGUUCCAACAUAGAAAGAUCAGGUGCAGCGUCCCCACAAGGAAAGACAAAGGUCAUCUACAACUGAACAGAACAGACCUCACAGAUGUGGAACUUUCCGUCUAGCAGGAAGAGUGAACGGGUAAAGAAUUGCACAAUUUAAAAAAAAAAUUUUUUUUAACAUUUAUUUUUGAGAGACAGAGCAUGAGCGGGGGAGGGGCAGAGAGAGAGAGAAGGAGACACAGAAUCUGAAACAGGGUGCGGGCUCUGAGCAAGCUGUCAGCACAGAGCCUGAUGUGGGGCUCGAACCCACAAACUGUGAGAUCAUGACCUGAGCCAAAGUCGGAUGCUCAACCGACUGAGCCACCCAGGCGCCCCUGGAAUUGCACAAAUUAUUAUGAUAAGUGUUGAGAAGUAAAGAACACUUUGAAAACCUGUCACCCAGGGACUUGGACAAAUGGGACUUGGAGCAGAGGGGGUAGCCUUAGAACACGCCCUGGAUGCCGAGCUGCAGCCACUGGGGGAAAUGGCAGAGAAGGACAGUUCUGGGCAGAGGAAGCAACAUACGCUAUUAAGGUAAAAGAACACGUGUGAGUGACUGGCAGAAGGUCAGUGAUGAGACAGGUCAGGCAGAGAGGCGGACAGCAAACAGUAGGCGGGACCUCGGAGGCCAAGCUUCUGACAGUGGCUGUCAUUCCAAGAGCUUGGGGAAGAGACGGAUUUCAAGCACAGGACCAACAGGCAUAGAUUUGCAUUAUUAAAAGACCACCCUUUCAAGCUUAGAGAAUGAAUCUGAGAAGAACAGGAAUGGAUGUGGGAUGACUGGUUAGGAUGAAGAGGUUAUCAUGGUUUAAAACUAAAUUUGUUGUUGUGGAGUGUGGGGAAGAAGUUUAGGAAUUUCCUGAGCUUGCACCAAUGGGUUAACAAGACUUAGAACAGAAAGUGGCCAAAGGGCGAAAAUCGCCCCCAGUGUGCAACGAAGCGUAGAUUGGGAAGCCACAGGACCAAAGCCUCCUAGAAUAGGUAAACAGGUAAACUGGACCAAAGACCACUGGAGCAGGGUGAAAUUGCCCGGAGCUAAUUAGCAAAAAAAGUGCCAUGUUGAUCCUGAGGUAGCAUGCUCUGUCUUAUCCCCUAGGCAAGUUAAGAUAAACGGACACAGCCCCUGGUGCCUGCCGCAAACAGCCAUCUGCUCAGUGCCGGAUUUUGUGUUGCAUUGACCCAAACCCCUAACCCCGAAAAUCUUUGAAACCGCUUUUCUCUCACACACGAGUUAAUGAUCACUGUUUCAUUGUCUCUUUCGGCACGUCCAUCACGUUUGUAAGUCUUCUGAUCCUAAUAAAUACGAGCAAGGACCCUUACUCAGGGCCCUGGUCUCCUGGACAUUAGCCUCUCCCGUAUUCAAUUCUGCGGCUUCUUUCUCGCUGGACAAGAGAGAAUUCCAGACUCAAAGUCUGUGACAGUGGAGAUGGGGCAAAAAAAAUAGAUUUGAGAAAUAUCCAGGAAGUAAGAUCAGUAGGAUGAUCGGUGAAAAGGUUAUUUCGAUGCUGCUGCUGGAUGAUGGCUCCGUGUCCCCAAGGACAACCAGCCCAGUGGUCCCUAAGGAUCAAGGGUUCAUCAGAGAGCCUAGUACGGGAGUGUCGUCUAUCACUGGAACCCCAAGGAAGGAGCUGGACUGCAGAUGCAGAUUUUGGUCUUAAUCAGCACAAUGGUAGUCAAAGAAGGCAUAGCAUGGAUGAUAGAGUCCAGGGGAGAGAGUGAGGAGAAGAAAGAAGUCUAGGAGGAGUUCCAAGGGCCUGCAGCACCGACAGAUUUGGAUAGAGGGGAAGCUAAGAGGAGGUUAAAGAGGCAGAUUAAGAAACUGGAAGGAAAACCGGGCCAUGGGACUGGGGAGAAGAGCGGUUUUAUACAGCCGCCACGCCAACUGCUUCAGGAUCGGUUUAAAGGAGGGGCUGGACAGCAGUUGCUGGCUUCGUCACUGAUGCGAACCACAGACUGGAAGAUUGCCGGGGACAGGGCUAGACCAGAGUGCUUUGCCAAGUGAGAAGAGGAAGAAAGAGCCCUUUCUGGAAAAUGUGCCACGAAGGACAAGAAAGUGAUAGGAUGGUAACAGGGGCUAAGGCUUGGGGGAGGAUUUUUCUUUUUUUAAGAUGGAACAGAUUUGAACAUAUUUAAAUACUUACGGAAAGGAUCUGGUAGAAAGAGAAGUUGGAGAUGAGGACGAGGGAUGAAAGGGGGCAGGAUUUUGUUCUGUUUUCUUUUUGAAAGAAAGAAAAUUUUAUGACAAGACAAAGCCCCCUCAAGAUUUCUUGCUCAUACCUCAGUCUCCAAGACCCAUUUUUCUCC